This 468-nucleotide ribosomal RNA is filed under the name uncultured bacterium. RNAcentral's name for it is "partial 16S ribosomal RNA". It matches the Rfam family "Bacterial small subunit ribosomal RNA", at positions 28 to 507 of the family's 1533-position model. The record is from RNAcentral.
GACGAACGCUGGCGGCGUGCUUAACACAUGCAAGUCGAACGGAAAGGCCCUGCUUUUGUGGGGUGCUCGAGUGGCGAACGGGUGAGUAACACGUGAGUAACCUGCCCUUGACUUUGGGAUAACUUCAGGAAACUGGGGCUAAUACCGGAUAGGAGCUCCUGCUGCAUGGUGGGGGUUGGAAAGUUUCGGCGGUUGGGGAUGGACUCGCGGCUUAUCAGCUUGUUGGUGGGGUAGUGGCUUACCAAGGCUUUGACGGGUAGCCGGCCUGAGAGGGUGACCGGCCACAUUGGGACUGAGAUACGGCCCAGACUCCUACGGUAGGCAGCAGUGGGGAAUAUUGCACAAUGGGCGGAAGCCUGAUGCAGCAACGCCGCGUGCGGGAUGACGGCCUUCGGGUUGUAAACCGCUUUCGCCUGUGACGAAGCGUGAGUGACGGUAAUGGGUAAAGAAGCACCAGCUAACUACGUG